Molecule: long non-coding RNA, 1381 nt
Filed under: Homo sapiens (human)
Lineage: Eukaryota; Metazoa; Chordata; Mammalia; Primates; Hominidae
Description: HSALNT0169891
Source: RNAcentral
GUGGUCAGCAUAUGUGCGUGGGAACUUGCUGGAAGGAAGGAAUGACCCUUCUAGCCAUGGAACGGUGGUCAUCCGUGAGCCACGGCCUCAGGAGGUGCCUUCCUAAUGUGCAGGUGACGAUUGCCUCUGAGCUCAGGCAUGCAGCUUCUGGGAUGCACUCUCCUUUCACGGCAAAGCAUUCUGCAUAGGAAAAACCGUCUCUGCGUCUCCAAGCUGUGGCCUAGCCCUUCAUUCAUCAAAUGGGAUACAACUUUCAUUUCUUAUUAAAAUCUGGAAGUCACUCUCCAUUUGUAAGAUAUCCCAGGGGUUGAUGUCAUCUUGUAAAGGGGGACAGUGCCAUUUUCUAUCUUACACUUUAAAAAGACAAAACCACUAGCUACAAACAUCAUUCACCACAGCAUGGGAGAGGCAACCCCACAGCAAAGGUUAUGUCAUGUUUCAUAAAUGGGUAUGGAUUUGGGGGCUGGUUUUUUUAAUAAAAACAUAUUUUGGUACUUUGGAACUUGACAUAAUUUGAGCUGUUUAUGUUGUAGAUGUUAUGAAUAGAUGUUAUGGUAUUAAUUAAUAGUGUGUAUUUUCUAUGUCUGGGCUUGCCUGGACCGCUGGUCCUUGCCUUUCUUUCUGACACAGAAUUUCCAGGGCCUCAACCUGCUUCUGUCUGGAAGUGACAGCCCACUCCACAGGGGUCUUCAGAUAGGGGUAGAAGGUGGUGCCCUGGGCUCUCCUGGCUCUAGAGAAUCUGGCUCUAGAAUCACGAAGCCUUCCAGCAUCCCCAGCUUCCCCCUUGCAGUAAUCCCAUAAGGGAAGCGUUGUCCCAUUUUACAGAGAGUCCGUGGGGCUGAGAGGUGUCAUGAAUUAUUCUAAUGGUAGUAACUCUAUUGGAGAGGCUGAAACCCGGGGCUCGUGGAUGUUGUGACCCACCCCCCACCAGAACCUCCCAUCCUGACUCACUGAAUAUUUAGUACCAUCGUCCCCUGGAGGAUGGUCUAGUUGGCAAGUAGCUGAGGAUUUUUAAUUCUAAUUUAGUUUAAACAUGGCUGUUUGUUGCUGUUGCUCUCUAAAGGGCCUUAUUAAAGACUCUUGCUGCAGUGAAGGUGGCCUGUCUAGGAAUCGAUAUGGAUGUUGAGAUCUGAGACUCUACAACACCCCCAAUCUCAGUCCUUCUCGCUCCAUAGGCAGUUCCAUUCCCUGCAGAUCUAACUCUGAGAUUCUCACUCCUGAAAAUGCCUGGACAAUAAAUAAAUCCAAGGUGAAGGUGUUGAUGCCAGUGACCUAGCUGCAUCAUUUUAUUCAUGGCAUCAAGCCUUCAAGAAUGUGGCUUAACUUGUAUUUAUUCACAUGAUAAUGGCUUUUUAUAAAUCUGCAUCUCUUCCUCCCCUAG